Microtus ochrogaster (prairie vole) is the source of this 514-nucleotide long non-coding RNA. RefSeq lists it as uncharacterized. The transcript is spliced from 3 exons. Lineage: Eukaryota; Metazoa; Chordata; Mammalia; Rodentia; Cricetidae. The record is from RefSeq and is a predicted model, not a curated record.
UCUUGGCGUUCCUAAACAAAAAGGCUGUGGCUGGGGUGCCUUGGGGGCGGUACCCACUCGCGCGGCGAUAGCGGGUUGGGCGCAGGGUUCUGCCUAGCACUUCCGCCAGUGGCUAGUUGUCGGGUUCGAGGCAUGGAGGUCGGCUAGCUCGCUGCAGCGAGACCUAACGGGGCCGAGAAGCUCUGCGGGCAGGCCCCGAGCGGGCGAACAGGCGUGCGCGUGGCGGGGCGCGCGGCAUAUUGCCAAUGAAAUGCUCUCUUUUGGAGCCAAAGUGUGAGUUAUCUGAAUGCAGAGAGCUUCGUCUAUUCACAAAUAAACCCAACAUAAAUAAGCUUCAACAAAGAGGAUCUCUUCUCUGUAGGACUUUUUGCUAAGGUUGGACAGAUGAGGCAGAGAGAUGAGAUUUCUUCAGUAAUUCAGACAAAUGAUGACAGUGGACCAAGACUGAGUGAUACUGAUACUGAGAAGAAAGGAGACAUGCUAGGACUGAUGAAGCAGAACAGGAGGGAGAAAA